CGGAAGUGCUAAAGUCUUGUUUUUUUUUACGUAUAACAACACACUGACAGGAUGCAUUCGAGGAUAACGAUAGCCAAGUCGUUUAUCAGGCUGUUAAUAGGAAUUAUUUCUGCAAAUAGAUGUAACUGAUGCCAAGAAGGGCUGUACCAUUGCACAGAUGAGGAACAUCAUCUUUGCUGCAGUUCUCAUUUAGUCUGUUUUUGAAGAAGAAAAGGAAGCAGAGAGGACAACAGAUGGAUGAAGCUGCUUUGGACAGUUUAGAGGAAGAUUUGAAGCGAGAAGCAGAGAGGUUGAGUUUGCCUCUUAAACAAAAGACUAAAGCAAAGAAACAAAGAGAAAGAAAGUAUUUCCAUAAAGUGAUAGGUCAGCAGCUGCCAAUGGCAUACAAUCUGUUGAAGAGGGGUCUGUUCGGAGAGAUACUGGAGGCGCAUCUCACCAAUUGUUCCCAGGACAACCUUGACCAGCUCGCUGCUGUGUGACGUAUUGCAAGAGCUACAGUAUAUUCUGAAUGACUUCUGUAAAACAUGUUGGGUUGUUUGAGAGACAGAUUACACUGCACUAAAUCUGCGCUGUUAGGUGGUGGUUCUCAAUGUAAAAUGCUACUAAGCCCAAGACCUUUUUAGAUUGUUAGAUUUUGCAACUAAAAAAGACGUAAAAGCCAAUUAAUUUAGCAUUAAUUAAAAAAAAUUCCUUAAAAAUGUAAUUGGUUGAACUUGAUUAAGAAUAAGCAUAUGCUUUUUUUUUUUUUAUUAGUCUAUGUUCUCACUUAAGCUGUUUUGUCUUUAAGGUUAGCCCUACAUUAAAUUACAUUCAGUGCAGUUUUUACCAAUCAACAUUUUGUUAGUAACACUGUGUUUUUACAAACCUGAUUUUAUUUUAUUCACGCUGUCAGUCCACUGCCCCAGAGAGAAAUGAUUUGCAACUGCUGAGAAUUCAGUAUGUUACAUGAAUUAUUUCGGAGCUUUCUGCAUUAGCAUAUUUUGCAUAACCCAUUUGCUUGAAAGCAAAAGGUUCUUUAACUUGCCAAUUUAUUUGUACAGCAUGAAACCUGAUCUGUUUAAGUUUAGAUGUAACAUUCUGCUUUUUGUACACUUAAUUUUCAUUCUGAUUCAUAGCCCUAUGGUAUGUCUAGUAAUUGGUGCAUAUGGUUGAUAAAAUAAGUGAAUUGUACUGAGACCCUUUAGUUUUUCAGUGUCACGGUAUAACUGUCUGUUUGCUAUUGUUGUGAUGAUUCCGUUUUUGUUGUCCAGUAUUUAUGCCGUACUUUGUUCCAAAUAAGAUGUUUAGUAAAGUGUAUAUUUUUUGUCUUUUUUAUUUUCUGUGCUGUGACAGAUGAAAUCCAACUAUAUUAUAUAAAUUAAUCAAAUAUAUUACCUUUUCUUCUGUUAUAAUUAAGGGAUUGAAUAAUUAGUAUCCGUCCCCUUUGGAGAACAACAAAGGCAGAGGCACAUUAUUAAUUUAAGCUAUAUUAUUGUGUCAAUAGCAGUCCCUCAGAAAUCUAUGCCUAUUUUAAUGCAUUUAAUGUUGUUAUUAAUAAAGAUUACAG
Xyrauchen texanus (razorback sucker) is the source of this 1546-nucleotide long non-coding RNA. RefSeq lists it as uncharacterized. The transcript is spliced from 4 exons. The record is from RefSeq and is a predicted model, not a curated record. NCBI's taxonomy places the organism in Eukaryota, Metazoa, Chordata, Actinopteri, Cypriniformes, Catostomidae.